AUUGAACGCUGGCGGCAUGCCUAACACAUGCAAGUCGAACGGUAGCAGGAAGCAGCUUGCUGCUUUGCUGACGAGUGGCGGACGGGUGAGUAAUGUCUGGGAAACUGCCCGAUGGAGGGGGAUAACCACUGGAAAAGGUAGCUAAUACCGCAUAACGUCGCAAGACCAAAAAGGGGGACCUUAGGAUCGUCUGCCCUCGGUUUUGCCGAGCUGGGAUUCGGUAGUUGGUGGGGUAAUGGCUCACCUAGGCGACGAUCCUUAGCUGGUCUGAGAGGAUGACCAGCAACACUGGAACUGAGACACGGCCCAGACUCCUACGGGAGGCAGCAGUGGGGAAUAUUGGACAAUGGGCGCAAGCCUGAUGCAGCCAUGCCGCGUGUAUGAAGAAGGCCUUAGGGUUGUAAAGUACUUUCAGCGGGGAGGAAGGGAGUAAAGUGAAUACCGGUGCUGAUUGACGUUACCCGAAGAAGAAGCACCGGCUAACUACGUG
RNAcentral lists this ribosomal RNA (490 nucleotides) under uncultured bacterium. RNAcentral's name for it is "partial 16S ribosomal RNA". It matches the Rfam family "Bacterial small subunit ribosomal RNA", at positions 30 to 507 of the family's 1533-position model. The record is from RNAcentral.